CUCAAACUGGUUUGAAAAGUAUUUAACAGACUUUAUACUUCCUUGUUGAAAAUGUCUUUAUUUUCAUAUCUCAUUAUUUGGACAUAUACAUUUGUCAUUGGAGAUGCUAAAGGAGAGCCUUGUUCUAACACCAAAGGUUUAUCAGUAGUAAAUAUAUGCAAAGACGAAAGUAAAAUCCAGGAUAUGAGCAAUUCUGUUUUGAUAAAGGCAAAUACCACUGAAAACUGUACAUGUAAACUUUAUGUUACCAAUCAAGAUCAAGACAUUGCAGUUAAUAUUCAGAAAUAUGGUCAGCAGACAAGCUCUAGUCCGUCACAUUUCGGAUGUGGUUUGAUACUGGAGUUUGAAAUCAGAGGAAAUAGCUUUUGGAACGUUCAAUGCAUAGUUGGUAAUAUAAUUUUCCAAACUCAAUAACGAACAACGAUGUAAUGACAAUUCGGUCUGUGGCUGUGAAUGGAACGUUAAAACCUAAUGAAGGAUAUUGUAUUGAAAUAA
Molecule: long non-coding RNA, 495 nt
Organism: Mytilus californianus (California mussel)
Lineage: Eukaryota; Metazoa; Mollusca; Bivalvia; Mytilida; Mytilidae
Exons: 3
Source: RefSeq, a predicted model, not a curated record